UGGGGAAUAUUGCACAAUGGGCGCAAGCCUGAUGCAGCCAUGCCGCGUGUGUGAAGAAGGCCUUCGGGUUGUAAAGCACUUUCAGCGAGGAGGAAGGUGGUGGACUUAAUACGUUCAUCAAUUGACGUUACUCGCAGAAGAAGCACCGGCUAACUCCGUGCCAGCAGCCGCGGUAAUACGGAGGGUGCAAGCGUUAAUCGGAAUUACUGGGCGUAAAGCGCACGCAGGCGGUUUGUUAAGUCAGAUGUGAAAUCCCCGGGCUCAACCUGGGAACUGCAUUUGAAACUGGCAAGCUAGAGUCUCGUAGAGGGGGGUAGAAUUCCAGGUGUAGCGGUGAAAUGCGUAGAGAUCUGGAGGAAUACCGGUGGCGAAGGCGGCCCCCCUGGACGAAGACUGACGCUCAGGUGCGAAAGCGUGGGGAGCAAAACAGGAUUAGAUACCCUGGUAGUCCACGCUGUAAACGAUGUCGAUUUGGAGGUUGUGCCCUUGAGGCGUGGCUUCCGGAGCUAACGCGUUAAAUCGACCGCCUGGGGAGUACGGCCGCAAGGUUAAAAACUC
Molecule: ribosomal RNA, 558 nt
Filed under: uncultured bacterium
Lineage: Bacteria
Description: partial 16S ribosomal RNA
Rfam family: Bacterial small subunit ribosomal RNA
Source: RNAcentral